UCAAAAUUUAAAAAUAAUAAAAAAAAGAGAGAAUGAAAAAGAAUAUUUUUUUUACUUCUUUUACAUAUUUGAGGAUCUCCUUUUUUUUAUAUAUAUAUAGAGGAGUAGUCAAAUGUUACUUGCGAAUGCGAUAACAGAAUCGGAAAAUCAACGUUUACUGAUCUGAAGGUCAUGGGCAUUAGUUUCAUAUAGUAUUCAUGGGCGCAUUAUCUAAAAUGUCGGUUAUGCACAUUAUCUGUAGGUGUUAGAUGAGGUAAUCCACCUACAUAGGCAAAAUUAGAGAGAAACUAUCCCGAUACUUUAAGAGGUCUGGUUAGACUAAACCAUUUGUCAAGUGGGUCGAUGGUCGAUGACAUUAUGAGGUAGAUCUUUGUAAUGGU
RNAcentral lists this long non-coding RNA (380 nucleotides) under Elaeis guineensis (African oil palm). Its description in RNAcentral is "long non-coding RNA (EGUI_LNC005578)". The record is from RNAcentral. Lineage: Eukaryota; Viridiplantae; Streptophyta; Magnoliopsida; Arecales; Arecaceae.